Molecule: long non-coding RNA, 336 nt
Organism: Venturia canescens
Lineage: Eukaryota; Metazoa; Arthropoda; Insecta; Hymenoptera; Ichneumonidae
Exons: 3
Source: RefSeq, a predicted model, not a curated record
GUGUUUCCUGAUAAAACUCUUUUGAUUCAAAUGGACACGGUGUGAUUUUUCCAUGACCUCAGUUUGGUUGGUCAACACGGUUUUACAGUCUCAAGCGUUCCAUGAAAAUAUAUGGCUCAAAGUCUUGAUUGUCCAGAUUUCGUGAUCUCAAGUGAUUGUUAUGGAGGUAUUCCUUGAGCCAUGGGCUUCAAAUGAGUGGAUACUGGGAAUGAGAUUCUUGGGUCAGACUCGUUGGGAAUAUGUUAGAACUUUUCAGUUCUGAAAGGUGCGACACUACAGAGAAUGAAAUUUCGAUUCAGUUAAAAAAAAAAAUAUUUCUGGAUUUUCGCUGUGAGA